Molecule: ribosomal RNA, 529 nt
Filed under: uncultured Methylobacter sp.
Lineage: Bacteria; Pseudomonadati; Pseudomonadota; Gammaproteobacteria; Methylococcales; Methylococcaceae
Description: bacterial SSU rRNA
Rfam family: Bacterial small subunit ribosomal RNA
Source: RNAcentral
AGGGGAUCUUCGGACCUUUCGCUAUGAGAUGAGCCUGCGUUAGAUUAGCUAGUUGGUAGGGUAAAGGCCUACCAAGGCGACGAUCUAUAGCUGGUCUGAGAGGACGAUCAGCCACACUGGGACUGAGACACGGCCCAGACUCCUACGGGAGGCAGCAGUGGGGAAUAUUGGACAAUGGGCGAAAGCCUGAUCCAGCAAUACCGCGUGUGCGAAGAAGGCCCUAGGGUUGUAAAGCACUUUCAAUUGGGAGGAAAACCCACCGGCCAAUACCCGGUGGCUUGACAUUACCUUUAGAAGAAGCACCGGCUAACUCCGUGCCAGCAGCCGCGGUAAUACGGAGGGUGCGAGCGUUAAUCGGAAUUACUGGGCGUAAAGCGUGCGUAGGCGGCCCGUUAAGUCAGAUGUGAAAGCCCCGGGCUCAACCUGGGAACUGCAUUUGAAACUGGCGGGCUAGAGUUUGGUAGAGGGGAGCGGAAUUUCAGGUGUAGCGGUGAAAUGCGCAGAUAUCUGAAGGAACACCAGUGGCGAA